This 408-nucleotide ribosomal RNA is filed under the name bacterium enrichment culture clone ALO1_GLFRUDD03HHGKG. Its description in RNAcentral is "bacterial SSU rRNA". It matches the Rfam family "Bacterial small subunit ribosomal RNA", at positions 9 to 416 of the family's 1533-position model. The record is from RNAcentral.
GAGUUUGAUCGUGGCUCAGAUUGAACGCUGGCGGCAUGCCUUACACAUGCAAGUCGAACGGCAGCACGGGAGCUUGCGUCCUGGUGGCGAGUGGCGAACGGGUGAGUAAUGCAUCGGAACGUAUCCUGGAGUGGGGGAUAACGUAGCGAAAGUUACGCUAAUACCGCAUAUUCUGUGAGCAGGAAAGCGGGGGACCUUCGGGCCUCGCGCUCUUGGAGCGGCCGAUGUCGGAUUAGCUAGUUGGUGAGGUAAAGGCUCACCAAGGCGACGAUCCGUAGCAGGUCUGAGAGGAUGAUCUGCCACACUGGAACUGAGACACGGUCCAGACUCCUACGGGAGGCAGCAGUGGGGAAUUUUGGACAAUGGGGGCAACCCUGAUCCAGCCAUGCCGCGUGAGUGAAGAAGGCC